Molecule: transfer RNA, 73 nt
Filed under: Chloroflexota bacterium
Lineage: Bacteria; Bacillati; Chloroflexota
Also listed under: 2 other names
Description: Chloroflexi bacterium tRNA-Cys
Rfam family: tRNA
About the family: Transfer RNA (tRNA) molecules are approximately 80 nucleotides in length.
Source: RNAcentral
GGCGGCGUGGCCAAGAGGUUAAGGCAGGGGUCUGCAAAACCCCGAUACGGCGGUUCAAAUCCGCCCGCCGCCU